This 73-nucleotide transfer RNA is filed under the name Actinokineospora globicatena. RNAcentral's name for it is "tRNA-Val". It matches the Rfam family "tRNA". Rfam says of the family: Transfer RNA (tRNA) molecules are approximately 80 nucleotides in length. Their secondary structure includes four short double-helical elements and three loops (D, anti-codon, and T loops). Further hydrogen bonds mediate the characteristic L-shaped molecular structure. tRNAs have two regions of fundamental functional importance: the anti-codon, which is responsible for specific mRNA codon recognition, and the 3' end, to which the tRNAs corresponding amino acid is attached (by aminoacyl-tRNA synthetases). tRNAs cope with the degeneracy of the genetic code in two manners: having more than one tRNA (with a specific anti-codon) for a particular amino acid; and 'wobble' base-pairing, i.e. permitting non-standard base-pairing at the 3rd anti-codon position. The record is from RNAcentral. Lineage: Bacteria; Bacillati; Actinomycetota; Actinomycetes; Pseudonocardiales; Pseudonocardiaceae.
CACCUAGUAGCUCAAAGGACAGAGCACCCGUUUGACUAACGGGUAGAUGCGGGUUCGAGUCCCGCCUGGGUCU